UUUUUUUAGAAAUAAAUUUAAUUUACAAAUUUUUGAUUUUUUAGUUAUUUAUUUAAUUGAAAAAUUUAUUUAUUUGAAUAUUUUAAGGGAUAAGCUUUAAAAUAAAUUAUUAAAAAUUAAUAGUGGUAAUAUAAAAUGUAUGCUUAGAAUUAGCAAUCAUUAUAAAGUUUGUUAUAAAUUAUUUUAUAAAUUAUAUUAUUUAUUAUAUUUUAAUUUAUUUAUAAAAAUUUUUUUAUGAAUUAUAUAUAAAAAGGAAUAAUGAUAGAAUUAGUAUAUUUUUUUGUUUAUGUAAUUUUAUAUGAUAAGUUUGUAUAAAGAACUCGGCAAAAAUUUUACCCGCCUGUUUAACAAAAACAUGUCUUUUUGAGUUAUUUUUAAAGUCUGACCUGCCCACUGAAGUUAUUUAAAUGGCCGCAGUAUUCUAACUGUGCAAAGGUAGCAUAAUCAUUAGUCUUUUAAUUGAAG
RNAcentral lists this ribosomal RNA (465 nucleotides) under Bactrocera carambolae (carambola fruit fly). RNAcentral describes it as "partial 16S ribosomal RNA". Lineage: Eukaryota; Metazoa; Arthropoda; Insecta; Diptera; Tephritidae. The record is from RNAcentral.